Molecule: ribosomal RNA, 397 nt
Filed under: uncultured bacterium
Lineage: Bacteria
Description: bacterial SSU rRNA
Rfam family: Bacterial small subunit ribosomal RNA
Source: RNAcentral
GUGUCAGCAGCCGCGGUAAUACGUAGGGGGCAAGCGUUGUUCGGAAUUACUGGGCGUAAAGGGCGCGUAGGCGGCACAGCAAGUCGGGAGUGAAAGCCCGGGGCUCAACCCCGGAACUGCUUUCGAAACUGCUGAGCUAGAGUGCAGAAGGGGCAACUGGAAUUCCCAGUGUAGCGGUGAAAUGCGUAGAUAUUGGGAAGAACACCUGAGGCGAAGGCGGGUUGCUGGGCUGACACUGACGCUGAGGCGCGAAAGCCAGGGGAGCAAACGGGAUUAGAUACCCCGGUAGUCCUGGCCCUAAACGAUGGAUACUUGGUGUAUGGGGUUCUCAAAGUCCCCGUGUGCCGGAGCUAACGCGUUAAGUAUCCCGCCUGGGGAGUACGGUCGCAAGGCUGAA